AUGCCAACUUCGCCGCACACCGCGGCCCCGCGGCCAGCUCCCUCUGGUGACAGUCAUUGCUGCUUCGGCCGCCACCCGCCAUGGCGCCCUCAGCUGCAACUGGCACGCUACUCCACAAGGAAGCGACGAUGUCUGCGACGUCCAUGGCGCCCCCCGCCUCCACUGCACGUGCUAGUGCCGACUCCGUCCUUUCCCCCGCCCCCGACAGCGCACCAAUCUGAGACACCCAUGGCGCCCUCCGACUCCACUCCGCCUGAUAUUGUCGGCUCCAGCCUUCCACCGCCGGCCCUUGCAGCGCUCCACUCCGGCAAGGCCCCUGCAGCUGCCGCGCAGUCUAUUUAA
Molecule: ribosomal RNA, 342 nt
Filed under: Triticum aestivum (bread wheat)
Lineage: Eukaryota; Viridiplantae; Streptophyta; Magnoliopsida; Poales; Poaceae
Description: partial small subunit ribosomal RNA
Source: RNAcentral